GCCCUUAUAGCUCAGUGGUAGAGCGCAUCACUCGUACUCUUGGCGCACAUGAUGAGGUCCGUUGUUCAAUCCAGCGUGGGGGCA
Molecule: non-coding RNA, 84 nt
Organism: Ceratobasidium sp. 395
Lineage: Eukaryota; Fungi; Basidiomycota; Agaricomycetes; Cantharellales; Ceratobasidiaceae
Source: the annotation of a GenBank genome assembly